Molecule: ribosomal RNA, 427 nt
Filed under: uncultured bacterium
Lineage: Bacteria
Description: partial 16S ribosomal RNA
Rfam family: Bacterial small subunit ribosomal RNA
Source: RNAcentral
UGGGGAAUAUUGGACAAUGGGCGAAAGCCUGAUCCAGCCAUGCCGCGUGUGUGAAGAAGGUCUUCGGAUUGUAAAGCACUUUAAGUUGGGAGGAAGGGCAUUAACCUAAUACGUUAGUGUUUUGACGUUACCGACAGAAUAAGCACCGGCUAACUCUGUGCCAGCAGCCGCGGUAAUACAGAGGGUGCAAGCGUUAAUCGGAAUUACUGGGCGUAAAGCGCGCGUAGGUGGUUUGUUAAGUUGGAUGUGAAAUCCCCGGGCUCAACCUGGGAACUGCAUUCAAAACUGACUGACUAGAGUAUGGUAGAGGGUGGUGGAAUUUCCUGUGUAGCGGUGAAAUGCGUAGAUAUAGGAAGGAACACCAGUGGCGAAGGCGACCACCUGGACUAAUACUGACACUGAGGUGCGAAAGCGUGGCGAGCAAACA